Molecule: transfer RNA, 77 nt
Filed under: Algoriphagus faecimaris
Lineage: Bacteria; Pseudomonadati; Bacteroidota; Cytophagia; Cytophagales; Cyclobacteriaceae
Description: tRNA_Met_CAT
Rfam family: tRNA
About the family: Transfer RNA (tRNA) molecules are approximately 80 nucleotides in length. Their secondary structure includes four short double-helical elements and three loops (D, anti-codon, and T loops).
Source: RNAcentral
GGGCCUAUAGCUCAGUUGGUUAGAGCUUCUGACUCAUAAUCAGGAGGUCGCUGGUUCGAGCCCAGCUGGGCCCACUA